Molecule: long non-coding RNA, 237 nt
Filed under: Lathyrus oleraceus (garden pea)
Lineage: Eukaryota; Viridiplantae; Streptophyta; Magnoliopsida; Fabales; Fabaceae
Description: Pisum sativum (pea) long non-coding RNA (PSAT_LNC012879)
Source: RNAcentral
UAUCUUCAAAACCAGAUUUCUGAACAAUUUCUAAUUCAGUACUUUUAUGAAAGGUUGUUACCUAUGUAAAAAAAUUAUUGGAUGCUUCUAGUGGAGGAGAAAUUGUUGAUAAGACCCCAGUUGCAUCUAAGACCUUAAUUGAAAACAUGUUACUCAACUCACAAUAAUUCACAACUAGAAACAAUUUUGUGGUUCUAACAAAAGGAGUGCAUGAAAUUCAAGCUUCUUCUUCCAACA